RNAcentral lists this ribosomal RNA (254 nucleotides) under uncultured bacterium. RNAcentral describes it as "partial 16S ribosomal RNA". It matches the Rfam family "Bacterial small subunit ribosomal RNA", at positions 337 to 588 of the family's 1533-position model. The record is from RNAcentral.
ACCUACGGGACGCAGCAGUGAGGAAUAUUGGUCAAUGGGCGCGAGCCUGAACCAGCCAAGUAGCGUGAAGGAUGACUGCCCUACGGGUUGUAAACUUCUUUUAUAAAGGAAUAAAACGAGGCACGUGUGCCUUUUUGCAUGUACUUUAUGAAUAAGCAUCGGCUAACUCCGUGCCAGCAGCCGCGGUAAUACGGAGGAUGCGAGCGUUAUCCGGAUUUAUUGGGUUUAAAGGGUGCGUAGGCGGAUUUUUAAGU